ACCCCUACGGGAGGCAGCAGUGGGGAAUAUUGGGCAAUGGGCGCAAGCCUGACCCAGCAACGCCGCGUGAAGGAAGAAGGCUUUCGGGUUGUAAACUUCUUUUCUGAGGGACGAAGAAAGUGACGGUACCUCAGGAAUAAGCCACGGCUAACUACGUGCCAGCAGCCGCGGUAAUACGUAGGUGGCAAGCGUUAUCCGGAUUUAUUGGGUGUAAAGGGCGUGUAGGCGGGAAUGCAAGUCAGAUGUGAAAACUAUGGGCUCAACCCAUAGCCUGCAUUUGAAACUGUAUUUCUU
RNAcentral lists this ribosomal RNA (294 nucleotides) under uncultured bacterium. RNAcentral describes it as "partial 16S ribosomal RNA". It matches the Rfam family "Bacterial small subunit ribosomal RNA", at positions 335 to 643 of the family's 1533-position model. The record is from RNAcentral.